Molecule: transfer RNA, 83 nt
Filed under: Elusimicrobiota bacterium
Lineage: Bacteria; Pseudomonadati; Elusimicrobiota
Also listed under: 3 other names
Description: Elusimicrobia bacterium (gut metagenome) tRNA-Leu
Rfam family: tRNA
About the family: Transfer RNA (tRNA) molecules are approximately 80 nucleotides in length. Their secondary structure includes four short double-helical elements and three loops (D, anti-codon, and T loops).
Source: RNAcentral
GCCGAGGUGGUGGAACGGCAGACACACAGGUCUCAGAAGCCUGUAGUCGCAAGACUGUGCGAGUUCAAAUCUCGUCCUCGGCA